GAUGAACGCUGGCGGCGUGCCUAAUACAUGCCAGUCGAGCGAACAGACGAGGAGCUUGCUCCUCUGACGUUAGCGGCGGACGGGUGAGUAACACGUGGAUAACCUACCUAUAAGACUGGGAUAACUUCGGGAAACCGGAGCUAAUACCGGAUAAUAUAUUGAACCGCAUGGUUCAAUAGUGAAAGACGGUUUUGCUGUCACUUAUAGAUGGAUCCGCGCCGCAUUAGCUAGUUGGUAAGGUAACGGCUUACCAAGGCAACGAUGCGUAGCCGACCUGAGAGGGUGAUCGGCCACACUGGAACGUAGACACGGUCCAGACUCCUACGGGAGGCAGCAGUAGGGAAUCUUCCGCAAUGGGCGAAAGCCUGACGGAGCAACGCCGAGUGAGUGAUGAAGGUCUUCGGAUCGUAAAACUCUGUUAUUAGGGAAGAACAAAUGUGGAAGUAACUAUGCACGUCUUGACGGUACCUAAUCAGAAAGCCACGGCUAACUACGUG
RNAcentral lists this ribosomal RNA (497 nucleotides) under uncultured bacterium. RNAcentral's name for it is "partial 16S ribosomal RNA". It matches the Rfam family "Bacterial small subunit ribosomal RNA", at positions 28 to 507 of the family's 1533-position model. The record is from RNAcentral.